This 449-nucleotide ribosomal RNA is filed under the name uncultured bacterium. RNAcentral describes it as "bacterial SSU rRNA". It matches the Rfam family "Bacterial small subunit ribosomal RNA", at positions 354 to 796 of the family's 1533-position model. The record is from RNAcentral.
GCCAGGAAUCUUGCGCAAUGGGCGAAAGCCUGACGCAGCAACGCCGCGUGGGCGAUGAAGGCCUUCGGGUCGUAAAGCCCUGUUGUCGGGGACGAAGGGCGAAGGGUUAAUAGCCCCUAGCCUGACGGUACCCGACGAGGAAGCCCCGGCUAACUACGUGCCAGCAGCCGCGGUAAUACGUAGGGGGCGAGCGUUGUCCGGAAUCACUGGGCGUAAAGAGCGUGUAGGCGGCCCGGUAAGUCUGCUGUGAAAACCCGGGGCUCAACCCCGGGCGUGCAGUGGAAACUGCCGGGCUAGAGGGCGGCAGAGGCGAGUGGAAUUCCCGGUGUAGCGGUGAAAUGCGCAGAUAUCGGGAGGAACACCAGUAGCGAAGGCGGCUCGCUGGGCCGUCCCUGACGCUGAGACGCGAAAGCUAGGGGAGCGAACAGGAUUAGAAACCCUAGUAGUCC